GACGAACGCUGGCGGCGUGCUUAACACAUGCCAGUCGAACGGAAAGGCCCUGCUUUUGUGGGGUGCUCGAGUGGCGAACGGGUGAGUAACACGUGAGUAACCUGCCCUUGACUUUGGGAUAACUUCAUGAAACUGGGGCUAAUACCGGAUAGGAGCUCCUGCUGCAUGGUGGGGGUUGGAAAGUUUCGGCGGUUGGGGAUGGACUCGCGGCUUAUCAGCUUGUUGGUGGGGUAGUGGCUUACCAAGGCUUUGACGGGUAGCCGGCCUGAGAGGGUGACCGGCCACAUUGGGACUGAGAUACGGCCCGGACUCCUACGGGAGGCAGCAGUGGGGAAUAUUGCACAAUGGGCGGAAGCCUGAUGCAGCAACGCCGCGUGCGGGAUGACGGCCUUCGGGUUGUAAACCGCUUUCGCCUGUGACGAAGCGUGAGUGACGGUAAUGGGUAAAGAAGCACCGGCUAACUACGUG
Molecule: ribosomal RNA, 468 nt
Filed under: uncultured bacterium
Lineage: Bacteria
Description: partial 16S ribosomal RNA
Rfam family: Bacterial small subunit ribosomal RNA
Source: RNAcentral